CUUAAACUUUUCUAACGUCUAUUUAGCUACAGCGUUUGGGUUAGCGGGCGUCGGUUGCCUUGACAACGGUUCAACGGCUAGCAGAGAGGAGGGCUAAGUCGGUCCCGGAGUCAUGACUGACAGGCUUCAGUCAUCCCAGAUACACUUGGCCCAGAGCUGACCGUAUGCUUUUAACAGAGAAAAUGAAAUGUCAUGGUUUCAGUUUACCUGUAGUUGUCUGGUUGGAGAGCUAUCUAAUAAACAGGGAACACAAGGUGAUGGAGUACUGGUGGAGGUGACAGGUGUUCCCUAUCUUCACUGAUGAGCUUCGGUGUAUUUAAGCAGCAGGCAGCCAGCAUCUCACCGCUCGAGUGUUAGUCCUUCAGUGAUCGAGACUACCUGGAUACUACUCAGGCUGGAUCACCGCCUUGCUUUGUUAAAGCAUAUUUUUGGAGUACCUUUGUUUCACAGAAGCCACGUCAUUAUUGUUGAAUUUUGUAUUGAUUUUGCAAAUCUAAUCGAUGUUGAAUUAGCAACGUCAUAUUUCUCAACAGGUGAAUUUGCCAACAUUAAAUCAUUACUGAUUUUAGUUUAAAUCUUGCCAAUCUAUCAUCGUGGACAUUUUAAAAUUCCUAUCAAGUCCUGCCUUUUAACAUAGUUUAACACAGAAAUAUAUUUUAAUACUGUUUUCACCUAAGUGAAUUUUCAUCUACAUUACA
Molecule: long non-coding RNA, 698 nt
Organism: Girardinichthys multiradiatus
Lineage: Eukaryota; Metazoa; Chordata; Actinopteri; Cyprinodontiformes; Goodeidae
Exons: 4
Source: RefSeq, a predicted model, not a curated record